Molecule: microRNA precursor, 138 nt
Filed under: Paramuricea clavata
Lineage: Eukaryota; Metazoa; Cnidaria; Anthozoa; Malacalcyonacea; Plexauridae
Source: RNAcentral
GGAAGGGGAAAGGUGCGUGAGAAAAAAGGUGGCGCGCGAGGGAGGGCGGGAAGGGGAAAGAAGCGGAGUCUCCUCCUUCUUUCUUUCCCCUUCCCGCCCUCCCUCGCGCGCCGCCGUUCGCGCCGCUUUUUUUCUCGC